GAUGAACGCUGGCGGCGUGCUUAACACAUGCAAGUCGAACGGAAAGGCCCAAGCUUGCUUGGGUACUCGAGUGGCGAACGGGUGAGUAACAAGUGGGUGAUCUGCCCUGCACUUCGGGAUAAGCCUGGGAAACUGGGUCUAAUACCGGAUAGGACCACAUUUUGGAUGGUGUGGUGGAAAGUUUUUCGGUGUGGGAUGAGCUCGCGGCCUAUCAGCUUGUUGGUGGGGUAAUGGCCUACCAAGGCGUCGACGGGUAGCCGGCCUGGGAGGGUGUACGGCCACAUUGGGACUGAGAUACGGCCCAGACUCCUACGGGAGGCAGCAGUGGGGAAUAUUGCACAAUGGGCGCAAGCCUGAUGCAGCGACGCCGCGUGGGGGAUGACGGCCUUCGGGUUGUAAACUCCUUUCGCUAGGGACGAAGCGUUAUGUGACGGUACCUGGAGAAGAAGCACCGGCUAACUACGUG
RNAcentral lists this ribosomal RNA (466 nucleotides) under uncultured bacterium. RNAcentral describes it as "partial 16S ribosomal RNA". It matches the Rfam family "Bacterial small subunit ribosomal RNA", at positions 28 to 507 of the family's 1533-position model. The record is from RNAcentral.